Long non-coding RNA from Microtus oregoni (creeping vole), 387 nucleotides. RefSeq lists it as uncharacterized. The record is from RefSeq and is a predicted model, not a curated record. The transcript has 3 exons. Lineage: Eukaryota; Metazoa; Chordata; Mammalia; Rodentia; Cricetidae.
CUGCUUAGGCCUGCCUGACUGCUGGUGCCAGGAACAUUUCUGGGAGAGGCUUGGGUCAACAAUUUGGCUGCUUACCGCGAGGGGCUGCUAAUAUCAGGGGCUUCACCCUGCAUCCCAGUCCAGCCUCAAACUCAAGAUGCUCUGGCCUGAGGCUCGAGAGUGCUGGGCUCCGGCUGGAACAAGGGAUGCGGGUCCACUUGCCGCACAAGCCUGGCCAUGUAAAGGUGUCUCCAGAGCCAACCAAUGACAAAAUGAAGCAUUUGAACCUUGUCUGUCUUCCCUAAAUAAUACAGCUUAUCUCGAAAAGCCUUCCAGAAUAUGUGCAUAGACUCUAAGCAAACGCCACUGUACACGAGAUCUGGGCAUCCUCGGAUUCCAAGGACUGAC